This 253-nucleotide ribosomal RNA is filed under the name uncultured bacterium. RNAcentral describes it as "partial 16S ribosomal RNA". It matches the Rfam family "Bacterial small subunit ribosomal RNA", at positions 524 to 776 of the family's 1533-position model. The record is from RNAcentral.
UACGUAGGGGGCAAGCGUUGUCCGGAUUUACUGGGCGUAAAGCGCGUGUAGGCGGCGAGAUAAGUCUGCUGUGAAAGCUCUCGGCUUAACCGGGAGAGGUCGGUGGAAACUGUUUUGCUGGAGGACGGUAGAGGGGGGUGGAAUUCCCGGUGUAGUGGUGAAAUGCGUAGAUAUCGGGAGGAACACCAGCGGCGAAGGCGGCCCCCUGGGCCGGUCCUGACGCUGAGACGCGAAGGCCAGGGUAGCGAACGGG